CCUACGGGUGACAGCAGUAGGGAAUGUUGCGCAAUGGGCGAAAGCCUGACGCAGCAACGCCGCGUGAAAGAGACGCCCUUCGGGGUGUAAACCUCUUUUGUCGGGGAGCAAAGAGAGUCACGUGUGACUCAUUGAGAGUACCCGAAGAAAAAGCAUCGGCUAACUCCGUGCCAGCAGCCGCGGUAAUACGGAGGAUGCGAGCGUUAUCCGGAUUUAUUGGGUUAAAAGGGUGCGCAGGCGGAGGUGCAAGUCAGCGGUCAAAUUGCGGGGCUCAACCCCGUACUGCCGUUGAAACUGCAUCCCUUGAGUGCGCGAGAGGUAUGCGGAAUGCGUGGUGUAGCGGUGAAAUGCAUAGAUAUCACGCAGAACUCCGAUUGCGAAGGCAGCAUACCGGCGCGCAACUGACGCUCAUGCACGAAAGCGUGGGUAUCGAACAGGAUUAGAUACCCUUGUAGUC
This 457-nucleotide ribosomal RNA is filed under the name uncultured bacterium. RNAcentral describes it as "partial 16S ribosomal RNA". It matches the Rfam family "Bacterial small subunit ribosomal RNA", at positions 338 to 795 of the family's 1533-position model. The record is from RNAcentral.